RNAcentral lists this long non-coding RNA (1027 nucleotides) under Homo sapiens (human). Its description in RNAcentral is "LHRI_LNC486.2". The record is from RNAcentral. Lineage: Eukaryota; Metazoa; Chordata; Mammalia; Primates; Hominidae.
GGGUUUCUGCUUUUGCUUCUUCUUCCUUCUCUCUUGCCUCCACCAUGCAAGAAGUGCCUUUUGCCCUCCACCAUGAUUGUGAGACCUUCCCCAGCCACGUGGAACUGCUGCAGGGCAGUGGCGUGAUCUCAGCUCACUGCAACCUCCACCUUCCGGGUUCAAGCGAUUCUCAUGCCUCGGCCUCCCGAGUAGCUGGGACCACAGUUCCUGUAAACAUCUGUCCAGGGCCUGAGCUCAGAAGGCAGAAUCCGUCGUGGAGCGUGUCCAACUCCUACCCCAAGAGCAGCCUCCAUGUUUACCCACGGACUGGGCUCACACACAGGCAGGCAGCUCCGAGCUCUGAGCACCUCAGCAUCCUUGGACUCUGAGCUAGCGUGGUCACAUGUCGGGGGGACAGAGUUCCCCAGCCCUUACCCUGCAGUCUUGCUUCUGAUAGGGAAACCUUGAGCUCGUAGUGACUGUGGGGCUGGCUCUCCAGGACAAGCCCCUCCAGUGGAGCCAGGAACCAGGAUGGAAGGUUGGGUUUGGGGGUGGACUGAUGGCCUGGAGUUCACUGCCACCUAUUUUCUUUUCCUCUUUUUCCAUCUCACCCAGAGCUGUGGGAAGAGGCCUUGACAACAGGUGAGAUUUGGGGCACCUGACUGUGACUUCAACCCAGCAGGUGGGGUUGGCCCAAAGCAGUUCCCCAGCUUGUCCUCUCAGGUCCUCUGGACACCCUUCCCCACCACACAUAACCCUGGACCUUCACAGCUCCCACACCACCAUCCACACCUAGGAAAGGACAUCGGACUGGAGGUCAGGGGCCUAGGAUUCAAGUCCCAGCUCUGCCGACAGCUACCAGUGUAUUCUUGGGCAAGUCACUGAACCUCUGUGGGUCCUGAUUCCCUUACCUGUAAGAGAGUGAUAAUCAUAAGGCCCUCUGCAUUGCUCUAAGGAUCAAGAUAAUGCUUGUGAAAGUCUUCACUGUACUCUAAAGUGUGAUUAAUAUAUAUUCUUUAUCCUGGAAUCUCCUAUCUCCUUUGAGUCC